AUUGAACGCUGGCGGCAUGCCUUACACAUGCAAGUCGAACGGCAGCAUGAUCUAGCUUGCUAGAUUGAUGGCGAGUGGCGAACGGGUGAGUAAUACAUCGGAACGUGCCCUGUAGUGGGGGAUAACUAGUCGAAAGAUUAGCUAAUACCGCAUACGACCUGAGGGUGAAAGUGGGGGACCGCAAGGCCUCAUGCUAUAGGAGCGGCCGAUGUCUGAUUAGCUAGUUGGUGAGGUAAAGGCUCACCAAGGCGACGAUCAGUAGCUGGUCUGAGAGGACGAUCAGCCACACUGGGACUGAGACACGGCCCAGACUCCUACGGGAGGCAGCAGUGGGGAAUUUUGGACAAUGGGCGAAAGCCUGAUCCAGCAAUGCCGCGUGUGUGAAGAAGGCCUUCGGGUUGUAAAUCACUUUUGUCCGGAAAGAAAUGGCUCUGGUUAAUACCUGGGGUCGAUGACGGUACCGGAAGAAUAAGGACCGGCUAACUACGUG
This 490-nucleotide ribosomal RNA is filed under the name uncultured bacterium. RNAcentral describes it as "partial 16S ribosomal RNA". It matches the Rfam family "Bacterial small subunit ribosomal RNA", at positions 30 to 507 of the family's 1533-position model. The record is from RNAcentral.